This 544-nucleotide ribosomal RNA is filed under the name uncultured bacterium. RNAcentral's name for it is "bacterial SSU rRNA". It matches the Rfam family "Bacterial small subunit ribosomal RNA", at positions 358 to 916 of the family's 1533-position model. The record is from RNAcentral.
GGAAUCUUGCGCAAUGGGCGAAAGCCUGACGCAGCAACGCCGCGUGCGGGAUGAAGGCCUUCGGGUUGUAAACCGCUUUUACCAGGAAGGAAAAUGACAGUACCUGGAGAAUAAGGUGCGGCCAACUACGUGCCAGCAGCCGCGGUGACACGUAGGCACCAAGCGUUGUCCGGAUUUAUUGGGCGUAAAGAGCUCGUAGGCGGUUCAGUAAGUCGGGUGUGAAAACUCUGGGCUCAACUCAGAGACGCCACCCGAUACUGCUGUGACUUGAGUCCGGUAGGGGAGUGGGGAAUUCCUGGUGUAGCGGUGAAAUGCGCAGAUAUCAGGAGGAACACCAAUGGCGAAGGCACCACUCUGGGCCGAGACUGACGCUGAGGAGCGAAAGCGUGGGUAGCAAACAGGAUUAGAUACCCUGGUAGUCCACGCCGUAAACGGUGGGCACUAGGUGUGGGUUCCAACCAACGGAAUCCGCGCCGGCGCUAACGCAUUAAGUGCCCCGCCUGGGGAGUACGGCCGCAAGGUUAAAACUCAAAGGAAUUGACGG